RNAcentral lists this long non-coding RNA (2501 nucleotides) under Marmota monax (woodchuck). The record is from RNAcentral. Lineage: Eukaryota; Metazoa; Chordata; Mammalia; Rodentia; Sciuridae.
GUCCGUUUGACUUUUCCAAAAGUCAUAGUUCUAAAAUUACGAUGCUUUUUUUUUAAAUCAAAUGCUAUGAAAUUUGUUUCCAAGUAGUUGUUUUUGAUAAUGGAAUAAGUUUUAAAGCACUUUUAGAAUCAGAAGUAACUGUAUUUUAUUUCCUACAGUUUGCAAUAGUUUACAGUGUUUAGGUCAUACAUAUGCUGCAAGUAUAUUUUAGUGUGUAGGCACUGCGGUCAUUGUAUCCAGGAGAACAGGGUAAAGAUAGCAUUUUAAAAGUAAAUGGGAUGACUUAAAAUUAAUUUCCCCAAUUUUUUGUUUUGUUUACUUUUUUGUUCGUUUAUUUAUUUUGUGUUAGGUUUGGUAUUGAGGUUUGAACCUAGGGGCACUUUACCAUGAGUUACCUACCAAGUUCUUUUUCAUUUUAUUUUUGAGGCAGAUCUAGAGGCUGGCCUUGAACUUGGAACCCGCCUGCUUUAGCUUCCAGAUUAUAGGCCUGCACAAUCACGCAUACCUGUAUUGUUUUUAAAUAGAUAUUCUUUUCCCAGUUAUUUACAUUUUGCGAUUAGUGUAAAUUCUUAACUGUGGAAAUUAUAUGUUGUCCCAAUCACCAGAAUUCCUUAAGGGGUAAAUUGAGUAUCUUUUAUACAUUUGUUAUCAUAGGCAGCAUAAAACAAUGAGGAUUUGCUAUUCCAUGAUGCUUAUAACUACGUAAAAUAUGCCACAAAACACUGAAUUCCCUUAAGAAUGGAAUUCUAUUGGAAAAAUUUGGGACAACGUGCAUCAAAAAGGGUAAGACACUAUUGAUAACAUGCAUAGAAUUUUUUUUUAAUGCCUAAGUUCUGAGCACUAAAAAUAAAGGAGGGGGAGGAUGAAACAUUUUCUUUGAAAGCAAUAUCAGAUUAUAAAUGUAGAACAAAUGAUAGAAAAAGAAUAAUUUUCUAAAUGAAUUACAGUUGGUAAUUUCAUCAAAGAAUAUUAAUUGGCAAAUUUCAUCAAAGAAUAUUAAAAGCCACUGGGUAAAGAUUCUACACUACAGAAAUCCAAGACAUGACAUGUUACAAAAUGGAAAACAUUUCUUUACCUUUAAAAAAAAAUCAUUGCCUUGAACAAAUGAUCAAAGAUCACAAAUAAUGAGGCAAUAUGAUGUCAUGUGCUUUUUGAUAUAGUGCAAUUAGGCAUACUCAUCAUUUAAGAAAUUUUCUUGCCAAAAUUAUUUAAGCUAAUUUCAAGCAAGCUUCAUGACUGUGGUUCUCACCAGGGCAACCUGAAGGGCAUGGAUGUUGUUAACUGCAUCUGAUGGGUAGAGGCCGGGGAUACUGCUAAUCAAGCUGCAGUGAAUAGGAUAAUUCUGCAUCCCCAAUAUAUAAUUAUCUAGCACAAAAUGUCAAUAGUGCCAAGGUGGAAAAACCCAGGUCUAGAUGGAAACACAUUUAAAAGUCAUAGGGGAUCAGAAAAAUGAGAAAUUAUACCCCAUUUGAUUCAAAUAAAAAAAAUAAAAGUCAUAGGGGAUUAUCAGAACACAUUAGACCUGAAGACACAGGCAGAUACAUCCAGACUGUGGCAUAUUCUACAGGAAAUGUAACCUAGAACACUAAAAUGUCUUAGAAAUUUCUUUGAGAUUAAAAAGAUGCAGGAGAAAUGAAAACAGUCCUACAUAUAAAAAAAACAGACGAAUGAAAGCAACUAUUUGUGACCCAUUACAGACACUUGAAUAUGGUCUAAAAACUGGAUAGUAUAAUGGAAUUAUGGUGUGAUGAUGGUAUGACUAUUCGGUAUAAUAAUAGUAUUAUUCUUGAUCUUGGGAAUUUUAUACCAAAGUAAAUCUAUAUAAAUAUGUACAUACAGAUAUGUAUAGAUAGGAAUGAGGAAAAGAAAUAUGUGACAAAAAUACUAAAAGUGAAUUAAUCAAUUGGAGGGUCCUAGUGCUUGUUAAUAUAUUAAAUUUUUGUCUUUUUUUUUUUUUUUCCUUUUGUAUUGGGUAUUGAACCUGGAGCACUUAACCACUGGGCCACACCCCCAGCCCUUUUCAUAUUUUAUUUUGAGACAGGAUCUCACCAAGUUACUUAGUUAACUUGCUAAGUUGCUGAGGCUUUAUCUGAACUUGCUAUCCUCCUGACUAAGCUUUCUAAGCCAUUGGAAUUAAAGGUGUGCACCACUGUGCCCAACAGCUUGUUAAAUUUUUUUGACUUUUCAAUGAGGUUUGAAACAUUUCAAAAUAAAAAGGAAAAAUAUGAGUUAUGCUAAUUUUUUCACAUCAAAAUUUUUACGUUUAAAUAUUCUAUAUAGAUAAGUUAAUGCCAUGGAAAAUGGUAAUAACAAACUAGAUGAGAAUAUGGAUUCUCAUCUUUAAUUAGAUAAAUCAUUCAUUUACAGAAAGUAUAAAGUCUGGGCUGGAGAUGUGGCUCAAGCGGUAGCGCGCUUGCCUGGCAUGCGUGCGGCCCGGGUUCGAUCCUCAGCACCACAUACAAACAAAGAUGUUAUGUCUGCAGAGAACUAAAAAAUAAAUA